RNAcentral lists this ribosomal RNA (450 nucleotides) under uncultured bacterium. RNAcentral's name for it is "SSU rRNA". It matches the Rfam family "Bacterial small subunit ribosomal RNA", at positions 26 to 518 of the family's 1533-position model. The record is from RNAcentral.
AGGAUGAACGCUGGCGGCGUGCCUAAAACAUGCAAGUCAUACGGGCUACCUUCGGGUAGCCAGUGGCAAACGGGUGAGUAACACGUGGGAACGCGCCUUGGGGUGGGGAAUAACGCUGAGAAAUCAGUGCUAAUACCGCAUACGGUCUAACGACUAAAGCAGCAAUGCGCCCCGAGAGCGGCCCGCGACCGAUUAGCUAGUUGGUGGGGUAAUGGCCUACCAAGGCGGUGAUCGGUAGCUGGUCUGAGAGGACGAUCAGCCACACUGGGAUUGAGAACGGCCCAGACUCCUACGGGGGGCAGCAGUGAGGAAUUUCGUCAAUGGGGGCAACCCUGAACGAGCAACGCCGCGUGCAGGAAGAAGGUUUUCGGAUCGUAAACUGCUUUUCUCGGGAAGAGAACGGACGGUACCCGAGGAAUCAGCCCCGGCUAACUACGUGCCAGCAGCCGC